GGAAAUUAUUAAAAUUUUGAUAAAAGUUUAUUUAAUUAUUUAAAAUUUAAACCAAUUUUGUAUUUAGCAAAAAUAAUAUUCGUUUUUUAACAAACAUUUUAUCCUUACAACCAAAGAUUAUAGAUAGGGAUUGUAGGGGAAAAGGGGAAGAAUUCUACUAAUUAGCUUUCUAUAUCUCAGACUAUAUAGCGCAGACUGGAAAAUCAUCUCGGCAUCCCUAUAUUAGUGCUCCAAUUUCUGUGUCAAAACUCUCAUACCUCUUGUGAACAAGUGCAGCCAAAGAACCAUCCUUCAUGUCACGGCAAGAGAAUUCAUUUAGUAUCAACAUCAAGAAAAGAAGAUGAAGAUUAAAAAUCUGACCUCAAUCAGAUUAGCAGCAUUUCUAGGUCCGCAAGCCAGGGUAUCCAUUCCAGCAAUAUGAGCAAUAAAUAGGUCCUCAACAUCAAUACUCUCUCUUCGCCUAUAAGCAUUAUGAAAUCAUAAGAUUGUAAACACACCUCCAUUGCUUUCUUGAGCUGCAGUAUAUGCGAAAACACCAACCUCAGAACUAUUAGCAGCACUAUGCAUAAAUCGAGGAUGGACAAACAACUGAGCCGUACCCCACAAAGGACGGAUUUUGGUUCCCUGUGUGGUCACAAAAUUGAGGUGCUUAAAAGGGCAUAGGAUUU
This 668-nucleotide unclassified non-coding RNA is filed under the name Hevea brasiliensis (rubber tree). The record is from RNAcentral. Lineage: Eukaryota; Viridiplantae; Streptophyta; Magnoliopsida; Malpighiales; Euphorbiaceae.